Molecule: ribosomal RNA, 1372 nt
Filed under: uncultured bacterium
Lineage: Bacteria
Description: bacterial SSU rRNA
Rfam family: Bacterial small subunit ribosomal RNA
Source: RNAcentral
GAUGAACGCUGGCGGCGUGCCUAAUACAUGCAAGUCGAGCGAACGGACGAGAAGCUUGCUUCUCUGAUGUUAGCGGCGGACGGGUGGGUAACACGUGGAUAACCUACCUAUAAGACUGGGAUAACUUCGGGAAACCGUAGCUAAUACCGGAUAAUAUUUUGAACCGCAUGGUUCAAAAGUGAAAGACGGUCUUGCUGUCACUUAUAGAUGGAUCCGCGCUGCAUUAGCUAGUUGGUAAGGUAACGGCUUACCAAGGCAACGAUGCAUAGCCGACCUGAGAGGGUGAUCGGCCACACUGGAACUGAGACACGGUCCAGACUCCUACGGGAGGCAGCAGUAGGGAAUCUUCCGCAAUGGGCGAAAGCCUGACGGAGCAACGCCGCGUGAGUGAUGAAGGUCUUCGGAUCGUAAAACUCUGUUAUUAGGGAAGAACAUAUGUGUAAGUAACUGUGCACAUCUUGACGGUACCUAAUCAGAAAGCCACGGCUAACUACGUGCCAGCAGCCGCGGUAAUACGUAGGUGGCAAGCGUUAUCCGGAAUUAUUGGGCGUAAAGCGCGCGUAGGCGGUUUUUUAAGUCUGAUGUGAAAGCCCACGGCUCAACCGUGGAGGGUCAUUGGAAACUGGAAAACUUGAGUGCAGAAGAGGAAAGUGGAAUUCCAUGUGUAGCGGUGAAAUGCGCAGAGAUAUGGAGGAACACCAGUGGCGAAGGCGACUUUCUGGUCUGUAACUGACGCUGAUGUGCGAAAGCGUGGGGAUCAAACAGGAUUAGAUACCCUGGUAGUCCACGCCGUAAACGAUGAGUGCUAAGUGUUAGGGGGUUUCCGCCCCUUAGUGCUGCAGCUAACGCAUUAAGCACUCCGCCUGGGGAGUACGACCGCAAGGUUGAAACUCAAAGGAAUUGACGGGGACCCGCACAAGCGGUGGAGCAUGUGGUUUAAUUCGAAGCAACGCGAAGAACCUUACCAAAUCUUGACAUCCUUUGACAACUCUAGAGAUAGAGCCUUCCCCUUCGGGGGACAAAGUGACAGGUGGUGCAUGGUUGUCGUCAGCUCGUGUCGUGAGAUGUUGGGUUAAGUCCCGCAACGAGCGCAACCCUUAAGCUUAGUUGCCAUCAUUAAGUUGGGCACUCUAAGUUGACUGCCGGUGACAAACCGGAGGAAGGUGGGGAUGACGCCAAAUCAUCAUGCCCCUUAUGAUUUGGGCUACACACGUGCUACAAUGGACAAUACAAAGGGCAGCGAAACCGCGAGGUCAAGCAAAUCCCAUAAAGUUGUUCUCAGUUCGGAUUGUAGUCUGCAACUCGACUACAUGAAGCUGGAAUCGCUAGUAAUCGUAGAUCAGCAUGCUACGGUGAAUACGUUCCCGGGUCU